Saitoella complicata NRRL Y-17804 is the source of this 73-nucleotide transfer RNA. It matches the Rfam family "tRNA". From Rfam's summary of the family: Transfer RNA (tRNA) molecules are approximately 80 nucleotides in length. Their secondary structure includes four short double-helical elements and three loops (D, anti-codon, and T loops). Further hydrogen bonds mediate the characteristic L-shaped molecular structure. tRNAs have two regions of fundamental functional importance: the anti-codon, which is responsible for specific mRNA codon recognition, and the 3' end, to which the tRNAs corresponding amino acid is attached (by aminoacyl-tRNA synthetases). tRNAs cope with the degeneracy of the genetic code in two manners: having more than one tRNA (with a specific anti-codon) for a particular amino acid; and 'wobble' base-pairing, i.e. permitting non-standard base-pairing at the 3rd anti-codon position. The record is from Rfam. Lineage: Eukaryota; Fungi; Ascomycota; Saitoellomycetes; Saitoellales; Saitoellaceae.
GGGGAUGUAGCUCAUCUGGUAGAGCGCUCGCUUAGCAUGCGAGAGGUACUGGGUUCGACUCCCAGCUUCUCCA